RNAcentral lists this ribosomal RNA (405 nucleotides) under uncultured bacterium. RNAcentral describes it as "bacterial SSU rRNA". It matches the Rfam family "Bacterial small subunit ribosomal RNA", at positions 1085 to 1498 of the family's 1533-position model. The record is from RNAcentral.
UGCCAUAACGAGCGCAACCCCCACCGCCAGUUGCCAUCAAGUAAAGUUGGGGACUCUGGCGGGACUGCCGGCGCAAGCUGCGAGGAAGGCGGGGAUGACGUCAAAUCAGCACGGCCCUUACGUCCGGGGCGACACACGUGUUACAAUGGCAGGUACAGCGGGAUGCCACGCGGCGACGCGGAGCUGAACCCGAAAACCUGUCUCAGUUCGGAUCGGAGUCUGCAACCCGACUCCGUGAAGCUGGAUUCGCUAGUAAUCGCGCAUCAGCCACGGCGCGGUGAAUACGUUCCCGGGCCUUGUACACACCGCCCGUCAAGCCAUGGGAGCCGGGGGUGCCUGAAGUGUGCGACCGCGAGGAGCGCCCUAAGGUAAAACCGGUGACUGGGGCUAAGUCGUAACAAGGUA